Molecule: long non-coding RNA, 877 nt
Organism: Notolabrus celidotus (New Zealand spotty)
Lineage: Eukaryota; Metazoa; Chordata; Actinopteri; Labriformes; Labridae
Exons: 4
Source: RefSeq, a predicted model, not a curated record
AUAACAGACAGAAAGUCGCCGGUAGGUGGCGGUAAAACACUGUGACUGGAAAAGAACGCGAAGAAGAAAGUCAUGUGAUCCAGGAGGAAGCGUUGGCUUGACAACGGCCAUAAUCUUCCCUUUGCGAUAAAGAGAGCAGUAAGAAGACACAAUGCCUGAAGUGAAGUCAAUUAUCAGAGAAGUUCUGCCCAAACAAGGGCAACUCUCCAUGGAAGAUGUCCCCACCAUGGUUAUGUGCAAACCAAAGCUGCUCCCACUCAAAUCAGUCACGCUGGAGAAACUGGAGAAGAUGCAGAUGGAGGCGCAGGAGGCCGUCAGACAGCAGGAGCUCGCAAUGAAGGAGCAGGCACAGUAGAAGCCCGAUGGAGGACGUGUGUUACUUAGGAAGAAGAACUUGAAGACGGCACAAGCCCAGCGUUUUCACAUACUUAAAGAAGAUGUGUUGUAAGCACAGUUAGGUGCAGUGUCGGGAGAUUCGUCUUCAUGAAGUGUUUGGUAAGAAGUUAAAUGAGCGAUCAGAACAUCCUGCUUUGAAAUAGUCAUCACAGAAUGAUCCACCUCAUAUAAUCAUUUAGGAUUACAUCUAUUGUCAUAGAGAGGUGGUUGACGACUGGUACCUCUGCAUUUCUUCAUACUUGAUCAUGACUGGGGAUACAUGUGUGCUAGAACAUGGCAUUGAUUUCUGUCUGGUGAAUGUAGGGCGAGGCAUUUCUUACGUCAGUUCAAAGGAGUGACUGAAGCAGUAAUGCACAUUAAAAACUGUUACAUCAUAAGAAGUCAUGUAUUAUUUAAUUGUUGUAACAUAUAAAAAAGGGUAACAGGUGGUUUAUUUCACACACCAAUCCUCCCUGAUAUGAAAUUAAACUUGUGAAGAUAC